RNAcentral lists this ribosomal RNA (497 nucleotides) under uncultured bacterium. Its description in RNAcentral is "partial 16S ribosomal RNA". It matches the Rfam family "Bacterial small subunit ribosomal RNA", at positions 28 to 507 of the family's 1533-position model. The record is from RNAcentral.
GACGAACGCUGGCGGCGUGCCUAAUACAUGCCAGUUGAGCGCUGAAGGUUGGUACUUGUACCAACUGGAUGAGCAGCGAACGGGUGAGUAACGCGUGGGGAAUCUGCCUUUGAGCGGGGGACAACAUUUGGAAACGAAUGCUAAUACCGCAUAAAAACUUUAAACACAAGUUUUAAGUUUGAAAGAUGCAAUUGCAUCACUCAAAGAUGAUCCCGCGUUGUAUUAGCUAGUUGGUGAGGUAAAGGCUCACCAAGGCGAUGAUACAUAGCCGACCUGAGAGGGUGAUCGGCCACAUUGGGACUGGGACACGGCCCAAACUCCUACGGGAGGCAGCAGUAGGGAAUCUUCGGCAAUGGACGAAAGUCUGACCGAGCAACGCCGCGGGAGGGAAGAAGGUUUUCGGAUCGGAAAACUCUGUUGGUAGAGAAGAACGUUGGUGAGAGUGGAAAGCUCAUCAAGUGACGGUAACUACCCAGAAAGGGACGGCUAACUACGUG